AUCAGUUUUACCGAUCGAAAUCGGACGUGUGCAUAAGUCAGUUUGCGUCGUAAAGAGUUUAUCAGAGGUCGAAUGUUCUUACAGUAUUUUUGGAUUACUGUCAAAACAAAGUUUAAUAUUGUGUCACAUAUUUUAAAAAAUUACUGAAACAAUCAUUUACAUCUUACCUUGAUUUUAACAGUGCACGUGUGUUCAGUCACGAUUACAGCAAAAAAUGAUCAGACGCUUCUUGUGAAUGAUCUAGAGAUAAGGAUCGAUACCGUUUACGAUGUUAACCGAAUAUACAUCGUAGAAUGUAUGGGCUUCUUGAAAUUACUACUGAAUCACUGAUUAAGACGUUCGUCUGAAUACACAUGAUUGCAAAUAUCAUCAUUGUUAGCGAGGAAUUUUCUUACACUUAACAUCAGAAGAAGCGUUGAGACCUCUAUAGGAGAUUUUCGAGGAUAGAACUCUCUAGGAAUGAUGAUUCAAUUUUAACCGGACUCGGAUUGAACUUUGAGCUCGUUCCACUUUAAUAGACUACGAGAUAUUUGUAGUGCAAUACGGUACAUAACUAUCUAAAAUGUAAUUAUAUAUAAAAUAA
Molecule: long non-coding RNA, 583 nt
Organism: Nomia melanderi (Alkali bee)
Lineage: Eukaryota; Metazoa; Arthropoda; Insecta; Hymenoptera; Halictidae
Source: RefSeq, a predicted model, not a curated record